This 498-nucleotide ribosomal RNA is filed under the name uncultured bacterium. RNAcentral describes it as "bacterial SSU rRNA". It matches the Rfam family "Bacterial small subunit ribosomal RNA", at positions 28 to 526 of the family's 1533-position model. The record is from RNAcentral.
GAUGAACGCUGGCGGCGUGCUUAACACAUGCAAGUCGAACGAAGCAACUGGACGGAAGUUUUCGGAUGGAAGACCAGUUGACUGAGUGGCGGACGGGUGAGUAACGCGUGGGCAACCUGCCUCAUACAAGGGGAUAACAGUUAGAAAUAGCUGCUAAUACCGUAUAAGCUUACAGUAUCGCAUGGUACAGUAAGAAAAACUCCGGUGGUAUGAGAUGGGCCCGCGUCUGAUUAGCUAGUUGGUAAGGUAAUGGCUUACCAAGGCGACGAUCAGUAGCCGACCUGAGAGGGUGACCGGCCACAUUGGGACUGAGACACGGCCCAAACUCCUACGGGAGGCAGCAGUGGGGAAUAUUGCACAAUGGGGGAAACCCUGAUGCAGCGACGCCGCGUGAAGGAAGAAGUAUUUCGGUAUGUAAACUUCUAUCAGCAGGGAAGAAAAUGACGGUACCUGACUAAGAAGCCCCGGCUAAUUACGUGCCAGCCGCCGCCGUAACAC